AACGAACGCUGGCGGCAUGCCUAACACAUGCAAGUCGAACGAGACCUUCGGGUCUAGUGGCGCACGGGUGCGUAACGCGUGGGAACCUGCCCUUAGGUUCGGAAUAACUCCCCGAAAGGGGUGCUAAUACCGGAUAAUGUCUUCGGACCAAAGAUUUAUCGCCUUUGGAUGGGCCCGCGUUGGAUUAGCUAGUUGGUAGGGUAAAAGCCUACCAAGGCGACGAUCCAUAGCUGGUCUGAGAGGAUGAUCAGCCACACUGGGACUGAGACACGGCCCAGACUCCUACGGGAGGCAGCAGUGGGGAAUAUUGGACAAUGGGCGAAAGCCUGAUCCAGCAAUGCCGCGUGAGUGAUGAAGGCCUUAGGGUUGUAAAGCUCUUUUACCCGGGAUGAUAAUGACAGAACCGGGAGAAUAAGCUCCGGCGAACUCCGU
RNAcentral lists this ribosomal RNA (432 nucleotides) under uncultured bacterium. Its description in RNAcentral is "partial 16S ribosomal RNA". It matches the Rfam family "Bacterial small subunit ribosomal RNA", at positions 29 to 506 of the family's 1533-position model. The record is from RNAcentral.